This 245-nucleotide long non-coding RNA is filed under the name Sorghum bicolor (sorghum). Its description in RNAcentral is "long non-coding RNA (SBIC_LNC004991)". Lineage: Eukaryota; Viridiplantae; Streptophyta; Magnoliopsida; Poales; Poaceae. The record is from RNAcentral.
UAUUGACAACUCCGAUUGUUAUCACAUUUCAAAGCUCCAUUAUUGACACUUUAGCAUCAUUUGGUAGUGGAUAAUUGAUGAAACCAAAGUAUUAACCUCUAUGCUAAGUGUGUGUACAUUAGAUGAGGUUGGUACAUUCCAAGAUUCCAAGUAGUGGAGCAAGAGAUGAUCAUGAUGAUGAUGGUGAUGACCACAAGAUCACCAAGUGCUCAACUUGAGAAAAAGAAAGAGAAAAACAAAACCCU